GUGUCAGCAGCCGCGGUAAUACAGAGACUGCAAGCGUUACUCGGAUUCACUGGGCGUAAAGGGAGCGCAGGCGGAAUCGUGUGUCGGAUGUGAAACCCGGGGGCUCAACUCCCGGACUGCGUCUGAAACUGCGAUUCUAGGGACUCGGAGGGGCUAGUGGAAUUCUUGGUGGAGCAGUGAAAUGCGUAGAUAUCAAGAGGAACACCAACGGCGAAGGCAGCUAGCUGGACGAGAUCCGACGCUCAGGCUCGAAAGUAUGGGGAGCAAAAAGGAUUAGAUACCCUCGUAGUCC
This 292-nucleotide ribosomal RNA is filed under the name uncultured bacterium. Its description in RNAcentral is "partial 16S ribosomal RNA". It matches the Rfam family "Bacterial small subunit ribosomal RNA", at positions 505 to 796 of the family's 1533-position model. The record is from RNAcentral.